UACAGAGGUCUCAAGCGUUGUUCGGAUUCAUUGGGCGUAAAGGGCGCGUAGGCGGCGGGGUAAGUCGGGUGUGAAAUCUCAGAGCUCAACUCUGAAACUGCACUCGAUACUGCUAUGCUUGAGGACUGGAGAGGAGACUGGAAUUCACGGUGUAGCAGUGAAAUGCGCAGAUAUCAGGAGGAACACCAAUAGCGAAGGCAGCUCGCUGGGACGGUACUGACGCUAAGGCGCGAAAGCGUGGGGAGCGAACAGG
This 253-nucleotide ribosomal RNA is filed under the name uncultured bacterium. RNAcentral describes it as "partial 16S ribosomal RNA". It matches the Rfam family "Bacterial small subunit ribosomal RNA", at positions 524 to 776 of the family's 1533-position model. The record is from RNAcentral.